AACUUUCUAAAUCCGUGCACAGAUUUCGUCAGAUACCAACCCAGUGGGGCUGAUCAGACUUCCAAUAUAAGUGAAGUU
Molecule: non-coding RNA, 78 nt
Organism: Schistosoma margrebowiei
Lineage: Eukaryota; Metazoa; Platyhelminthes; Trematoda; Strigeidida; Schistosomatidae
Source: Rfam